Molecule: ribosomal RNA, 253 nt
Filed under: uncultured bacterium
Lineage: Bacteria
Description: partial 16S ribosomal RNA
Rfam family: Bacterial small subunit ribosomal RNA
Source: RNAcentral
UACGUAGGUGGCAAGCGUUGUCCGGAUUUAUUGGGUUUAAAGGGUGCGUAGGCGGUCUAUUAAGUCAGCGGUGAAAUACUCCAGCUUAACUGGAGGGGUGCCAUUGAUACUGAUGGACUUGAGUCAAGUCGAGGUAGGCGGAAUUGACGGUGUAGCGGUGAAAUGCUUAGAUGUCGUCAAGAACACCAAUAGUGAAGACAGCUUACUGGGCUUAAACUGACGCUGAGGCACGAAAGUGUGGGGAUCAAACAGG